This 233-nucleotide long non-coding RNA is filed under the name Panax ginseng (ginseng). Its description in RNAcentral is "long non-coding RNA (PGIN_LNC006338)". The record is from RNAcentral. Lineage: Eukaryota; Viridiplantae; Streptophyta; Magnoliopsida; Apiales; Araliaceae.
CCGGAUAAAGGACUUAAUGGUCCUUGCAAAAAUCUUAAUGAGUGGGGCUGAUUUCUAUGCAUAUAGAUUUUAGUUUAUGUCUCUAUGAAUGAAAGUGCAAAAUCACCAAAUACAAGAUAAAUAAUUAAUACUACCUCAUUACAUUAUUUUAGAUGUAACAUGCGUCUAUCUCUCUCAUAACCUGAUGAGAAAAUAGAAAAACGAUGCGAGAGAGAGACGCCCUUUUAUUUAAG